This 274-nucleotide ribosomal RNA is filed under the name uncultured bacterium. RNAcentral's name for it is "partial 16S ribosomal RNA". It matches the Rfam family "Bacterial small subunit ribosomal RNA", at positions 523 to 796 of the family's 1533-position model. The record is from RNAcentral.
AUACGGAGGGUGCAAGCGUUACUCGGAAUCACUGGGCGUAAAGCGCGCGCAGGCGGUCUUUUAAGUUGGAUGUGAAAGCCUACAGCUCAACUGUAGAACUGCAUCCAAAACUAUUAGACUAGAGUCUGGGAGGGGAAGAUGGAAUUAGUUGUGUAGGGGUAAAAUCCGUAGAGAUAACUAGGAAUACCAAAAGCGAAGGCGAUCUUCUGGAACAGUACUGACGCUGAGGCGCGAAAGCGUGGGGAGCAAACAGGAUUAGAACCCCCAGUAGUCC